This 219-nucleotide ribosomal RNA is filed under the name uncultured bacterium. Its description in RNAcentral is "partial 16S ribosomal RNA". It matches the Rfam family "Bacterial small subunit ribosomal RNA", at positions 524 to 739 of the family's 1533-position model. The record is from RNAcentral.
UACGUAGGGUGCAAGCGUUGUCCGGAAUUAUUGGGCGUAAAGAGCUUGUAGGCGGUUUGUCGCGUCUGCUGUGAAAACUGGAGGCUCAACCUCCAGCCUGCAGUGGGUACGGGCAGACUAGAGGUGCGGUAGGGGAGAUUGGAAUUCCUGGUGUAAGCGGUGGAAUGCGCAGAUAUCAGGAGGAACACCGAUGGACGAAGGCAGAUCUCUGGGCCGUAA